GUAACUUGAGAGGGUUUUGAUUGAGAUUUAUUGUUUCAAUAUGGCAGGUUGUCUUGCUCUGUUCCUGUGUACUGGCAUUCUUCCUGAAUUACUGUAUAUUUCUUAAUACGACACUAAAUUCAGCACUAACGCAGACAAUUUGCGGUAACUUGAAGGAUUUCUUUACCAUUGGACUUGGCUGGGUGAUAUUUGGUGGCCUUCCAUUUGAUAUUUUGAAUGUCAUUGGGCAAUGUCUCGGUUUUCUUGGUUCUGGAUUGUACGCGUACAAUAAGCUCAUAGGGAAGUAGCAUAAUCAAUGGAUGGCUAGUUUUCUCCAUUGAAGAUGAUUGGUUGCUGCCUUUGCCCCUGUUCCCGCUCCAAUUUUGGGUUUGUGAUUAUGGAUCUUAGAAGGGAGAGGCGACUGUUAAAGAUAGGAGAUUUCUGCUCAGUGGAUACACAACUAUUAACUGGAAACAAAGCCUGCUUCUUUGGCCUUGUAGUUAUUCUUCUACAGGAUAGGUAUUAGAUUAGAAACAGUGAUGGCAAUUUAGUGUUAGCAGCUGCUUGCUGAUCUAAUUUGUUAGACUUGACAUUGUAUAUGAUGAUUCUCUCUCUUCCAAUG
This is a long non-coding RNA of Rosa rugosa (rugosa rose), 601 nucleotides long. RefSeq lists it as uncharacterized. The record is from RefSeq and is a predicted model, not a curated record. The transcript has 3 exons. NCBI's taxonomy places the organism in Eukaryota, Viridiplantae, Streptophyta, Magnoliopsida, Rosales, Rosaceae.